AAAGCAAGGAGAAAAGGUUGAAUAAUCUUAUAAGUUGAGGUGAGGGGAGUGGGAUGGAAUAUUUAGCCAAUUCUCAUGCCUGUGGCAUGAAGGAAACAGUCACCAGCUAUUAAUGAAGAAAAUUCUCAACAGUUUGUCAAGGAAGGAGUGUUUAAAACAAAAGAAACAAGAAGAAGGGAGAGAGGUUCAGCUUCUGGUAU
This is a long non-coding RNA of Telopea speciosissima, 200 nucleotides long. RefSeq lists it as uncharacterized. NCBI's taxonomy places the organism in Eukaryota, Viridiplantae, Streptophyta, Magnoliopsida, Proteales, Proteaceae. The transcript has 3 exons. The record is from RefSeq and is a predicted model, not a curated record.